UGAAAAUUUAGCCAAUGAAAUCCAGCAACAAAAAUGUCACUAAUAGGUAGGUUAGUUAAAGGAUUCUCCCUCCCCCUCACUUAUCUUAGUUGAUGGCACCCCACACAAGUUAAAUAUCAAGACCAACAAAGGAAACCAUCUGACAGAUGAACAAAGAAGUCACUAAGCAGCUUUGGUCCUGGUAUGCCAAACUUACCCAGCAAUGACGGGAGAGUGCCUUUUUCUGCUCUGAUGUACUAAAUUGAAGCUUGAAAGAGACAUCAAUUAAGGAAAGUUUUGCGUGUAUUUAUUGAUGCCCCUACAAGAACGGAAUAAUAAACUGGAGGAAUUCCAUGGGGACUGGAACAACCUCCAGGAAGUGAUGCAGAGCGAGAGGAGCAGAACCAGGAGAAUAUUGUACACAGAGACUGAUACACUGUGGCACAAUCGAUUGCAAUGGACUUCUCUACUAGCAGUAAUGCAAUGACCCAGGAGAACACUAUCCACAUCCAAAGAAAGAACUGUGGGAGCAGAAACACAGAAGAAAAACAACUGUUUGAUCACAUGGUUCAAUGGGGAUAUGAAUGAGGAUGUAGACUCUAAAUUGAUCACUCUAUUGCAAAUAUUAAUAAAAUAGAAAUAGGUUCUGAACA
Molecule: long non-coding RNA, 632 nt
Filed under: Monodelphis domestica (gray short-tailed opossum)
Lineage: Eukaryota; Metazoa; Chordata; Mammalia; Didelphimorphia; Didelphidae
Description: lncRNA (ENSMODG00000050996.1)
Source: RNAcentral